RNAcentral lists this ribosomal RNA (253 nucleotides) under uncultured bacterium. RNAcentral's name for it is "partial 16S ribosomal RNA". It matches the Rfam family "Bacterial small subunit ribosomal RNA", at positions 524 to 776 of the family's 1533-position model. The record is from RNAcentral.
UACGAAGGGGACUAGCGUUGUUCGGAAUCACUGGGCGUAAAGCGCACGUAGGCGGAUUUGUAAGUUAGAGGUGAAAGCCCGGGGCUCAACCCCGGAAUUGCCUUUAAGACUGCAUCGCUUGAAUCCAGGAGAGGUGAGUGGAAUUCCGAGUGUAGAGGUGAAAUUCGUAGAUAUUCGGAAGAACACCAGUGGCGAAGGCGGCUCACUGGACUGGUAUUGACGCUGAGGUGCGAAAGCGUGGGGAGCAAACAGG